Molecule: long non-coding RNA, 420 nt
Filed under: Heterocephalus glaber (naked mole-rat)
Lineage: Eukaryota; Metazoa; Chordata; Mammalia; Rodentia; Bathyergidae
Description: lncRNA (ENSHGLG00100034774.1)
Source: RNAcentral
CGCGCCGAGGGGCGGGGGAUUGCGGAGGAGGAGGCUCUCACUGUUAGUCCUUCACCCCAGCUCCGGGAGGAGGUUUUGGCUAGAGUCCCUUUCCGAGUGGCCAGGUGGGGUUACUUUUGGCUGAGUUCAUCCUUGUAGCCUCUCCGGUUGCUGUGCACCCACGACAAUCGCCGUAAGACCCAUGUCAUGUGACCACCCCAUCUGCAGAGGAGUCAGAAGUACUAAGUAUUUUAAGCUGGAAAAAUGUCAGAGUUGUUACCAAAAGAGAAGAGGAAUCCAGAUACUUGUUGGAGAAACUGAGGCACAGGAACUCUUCCUGAGUUGAAGAGCUGAUAGAUGGAGAAAUCCUGUUUGGAGCCUCCAGAGCCUUCUCUUGAAAGAAGGAAAUCACAGAGGAGAUGGUGAUUUGAUUAUCCAAAU